Bombyx mori (domestic silkworm) is the source of this 106-nucleotide non-coding RNA. NCBI's taxonomy places the organism in Eukaryota, Metazoa, Arthropoda, Insecta, Lepidoptera, Bombycidae. The record is from RefSeq and is marked provisional.
UAGUUUCGAGAUUAUUCUAAUCAGCUGUUAGGAGAAUAGUGUUGCGAUGUGUACUCAAUUUAUUAGUGACUAGCGAUACACUCCGGCUCCGCUCGGGUCUUUAACA